AGUACCACCAGUAUUAAAAUUUUAAUUUUGUUUCAGUGAUAGAAGUUUGAAGAUAUGUUAAAUUGGUUUUGUUGUUGUUUGUGUUGUUUAAAUAUCUUAAAUAUUUUUAAAAGUCUAAACAUUUUUUUUUCUAAAUGAUACAUUAGAGAGCGGCAGUCAUCUAGAUUAUCUGAUUAAUAGUUAUUUUCUAUGGAUAUAUUUACUACUUUGGUAAAAUACUUUAGCUUUUGAAAUUUUGAUGUAAUUAAAGGAUGAUGUGAUGAAUGACAAUUUCAAGAUGUGGAAACGCUUCUGGUAAUACAUGUACAGUCUAGUCGAGCCUUACUGUGCUCCUUCCUUAGGCAGUGGUUCAUUUUCUUAUUUGCAGAAAGCUUCCACAAGAUAAUGAGACCAACAUCUUACAUUUAGUAUUAUAAUGUGUUCUGUUGUCUACCAAUUCCUGAUUAGAUUUGUACAUUUACUUUAGAACUUCCUUGAAAUUCUUCAUGUUAUGUUGUA
Molecule: long non-coding RNA, 498 nt
Filed under: Bos taurus (domestic cattle)
Lineage: Eukaryota; Metazoa; Chordata; Mammalia; Artiodactyla; Bovidae
Description: long non-coding RNA NONBTAT025273
Source: RNAcentral